This 380-nucleotide ribosomal RNA is filed under the name uncultured eukaryote. RNAcentral's name for it is "partial 18S ribosomal RNA". It matches the Rfam family "Eukaryotic small subunit ribosomal RNA", at positions 592 to 976 of the family's 1831-position model. The record is from RNAcentral.
CAAUAGCGUAUAUUAAAGUUGUUGCAGUUAAAAAGCUCGUAGUUGGAUUUGUGGCUGUCACGGGCGGCCUAUCACUUAGUGUUAGUGCUUGCCUGUGUCGCCAUCCUUGGGUGGAGCCCGUGUGGCAUUAGGUUGUCGUGCGGGGGAUGCCCAUCGUUUACUGUGAGAAAAUUAGAGCGUUCAAAGCAGGCUUAUGCCGUUGAAUAUGUUAGCAUGGAAUAAUAAGAUAGGACCUCGGUACUAUUUUGUUGGUUUGCGCACCGAGGUAAUGAUUAAUAGGGACAGUUGGGGGUAUUCGUAUUUCAUUGUCAGAGGUGAAAUUCUUGGAUUUCUGAAAGACGAACUACUGCGAAAGCAUUUACCAAGGAUGUUUUCAUUAA